RNAcentral lists this long non-coding RNA (469 nucleotides) under Anas platyrhynchos (mallard). RNAcentral's name for it is "lncRNA (ENSAPLG00020008252.1)". The record is from RNAcentral. Lineage: Eukaryota; Metazoa; Chordata; Aves; Anseriformes; Anatidae.
CUUGAGGCCUCGCCCCGGCCGGGCCCCGCCGCUUCCUCGCGGGCUCCCAGGGCCCGGUCCCAGCCCGGGCUGGGCGAGGAGAGACCGAAGCCUGGAGGUCGAGACCCGGAGGCCGAGGCCCGGCCGGGAUUUGCGGCGAGGCGGCCCCGGGGAGGCCGGAGCAGGACCCGCCGCAGAGGGAGCGUGGCCGUCAUGCUGUGAGGAGCCUCCGUGAGCAUCCCUCGGGCUGCCAGCACCGCUGCCUCUCCGGUACCGCCAGCGCUGCCGACUCAUUUAACCCCGCUCAGCCGGCUCCGGUUCAUCUGGCCCCUUCUUCAGGAUGCAGCCUGUCUCUGUUCUGAGAUGAGUCCCUGAGCAGCAAAGAGCUCCUGUUUGUGCAGCACAUGAAGUACAACCAGGAACAUCAAAAAGCACAGAGCUCUAAAUGCUGUAAUAUGCUUUUUCCAUUCGUGCUGCUUCAGUCCAGCAU